This is a long non-coding RNA of Daphnia pulicaria, 532 nucleotides long. RefSeq lists it as uncharacterized. The record is from RefSeq and is a predicted model, not a curated record. NCBI's taxonomy places the organism in Eukaryota, Metazoa, Arthropoda, Branchiopoda, Diplostraca, Daphniidae. The transcript has 4 exons.
GUCCAUGCUCCUCCUUGCUUAGCCGCUUAUCCUUGCAGGCUGCAGUGGCAGCAAUUUUAUUUGAAUUUUUUUUUCCUUAAGUGUACUCAUAGCCGUUCCUAAAUGAACGCUUUAUUUUGUGAAGUCGAAAGAGAUGUUUUAGUAAAGCUUAACAAACUGACCAUGUUAUGGACAGUGAAACUGAUCAAGAGAAUACUGGACAUACCAGUUCAGUGAUACCUGAUGAUCAGAUGCCAUUCAUCCUGUGACAGUUCUCUCAAACCAGGUUGAUAGCAAGGUUGAUAGCCAAAUAGUCUAAGAGAACCAUGCCAGUUCAGUGAUCUCUGCUGCUGAUGCCAUCCUUUUUAUGACAGUUCUCUCAAACCUGUUGAUAGUCAAAAUAAAUGAAGAUAAUCUGUCAGCGGACACUUGGUUGUGUGGGCGCCGUGAUUCGUUGAGUCGCACGUUCAAGUCUCUCGCUGGAAGUUCAUUUUGAAUUUUCGCCAUUUGCGCGGAAAACUGUUUCUGUUGUUUAUUUAAAUUCGUAUUUUGU